RNAcentral lists this ribosomal RNA (253 nucleotides) under uncultured bacterium. RNAcentral describes it as "partial 16S ribosomal RNA". It matches the Rfam family "Bacterial small subunit ribosomal RNA", at positions 524 to 776 of the family's 1533-position model. The record is from RNAcentral.
UACGGAGGGUGCGAGCGUUGUCCGGAAUCAUUGGGCGUAAAGGGCGCGUAGGUGGCCCGGUCAGCGUGCGGUGAAAGCUCGGGGCUCAACCCCGAGUCGGCCGUGCGAACUGCUGGGCUGGAGCACUGUAGAGGCAGGCGGAAUUCCGGGUGUAGCGGUGGAAUGCGUAGAGAUCCGGAAGAACACCGGUGGCGAAGGCGGCCUGCUGGGCAGUGGCUGACGCUGAGGCGCGACAGCGUGGGGAGCAAACAGG